RNAcentral lists this ribosomal RNA (1663 nucleotides) under Cobitis sinensis (Siberian spiny loach). Its description in RNAcentral is "16S ribosomal RNA". It matches the Rfam family "Bacterial large subunit ribosomal RNA". The record is from RNAcentral. Lineage: Eukaryota; Metazoa; Chordata; Actinopteri; Cypriniformes; Cobitidae.
GCUAAAUAGCUAGCUUAAUUAUUACAUAAAUAAAAAGACAAAACCUAAAAAGACCAAACAAACCAUUUUUCCACCUUAGUACGGGCGACGAAAGAGGUUCUAUAAGCAAUAGAAAAAGUACCGCAAGGGAAAGCUGAAAGAGCAAUGAAAUAAAUCAUCUAAGCAUAAAAAAGCAGAGACUUAACCUCGUACCUUUUGCAUCAUGAUUUAGCAAGCACUCAACAAGCAAAGAGACCUUUAGUUUGUUUUCCCGAAACCAAGUGAGCUACCCCGGGACAGCCUAAAAGGGCCAACCCGUCUCUGUGGCAAAAGAGUGGGAAGAGCCCCGGGUAGAGGUGAUAGACCUACCGAACUUGGUGAUAGCUGGUUGCCUAAGAAAUGAAUAGAAGUUCAGCCUCGUGCCCCCUUUAAUCAUAUAAGUAAUAUCUAAUUUAGAAAAUAAGAAAAGCAUGAGAGUUAGUUAAAGGGGGUACAGCCCCUUUAACCAAGGAUACAACUUUAUCAGGAGGAUAGGGAUUAUAAUUAAUAAAAUUUAUUGUUUCAGUGGGCCUAAAAGCAGCCACCUGCACAGAAAGCGUUAAAGCUCAGACAAUACAAAAUUUAUUAUUUCAAUAAAAUAUCCCACUCCCCUAAAUGUAUUAGGCCGCUCCAUGGUUUAUUAUGGAAGAGACCAUGCUAAAAUGAGUAACAAGAGACAACAUUUCUCUCCAAGCAUAAGUGUAAGCCGGCCCGGAUAAACCGCCGGCAAUUAACGAACCCAACAAAAGAGGGUAAUAUAAUUAGUAUAAAAUUCAAGAAAAUCGUGUAAUAUUAAAUCGUUAAACCCACACUGGAAUGCCCCAAGGAAAGACUUAAAGAAAGAGAAGGAACUCGGCAAACACAAGCCUCGCCUGUUUACCAAAAACAUCGCCUCCUGCAAAAUUCAAAGUAUAGGAGGUCCAGCCUGCCCAGUGACCACAAGUUCAACGGCCGCGGUAUUUUGACCGUGCAAAGGUAGCGCAAUCACUUGUCUUUUAAAUGAAGACCUGUAUGAAUGGCUAAACGAGGGCUUAGCUGUCUCCUCUUUCAAGUCAGUGAAAUUGAUCUGCCCGUGCAGAAGCGGACAUAAGUAUACAAGACGAGAAGACCCUUUGGAGCUUUAGGUUCAAGCCCAGCCGCGUCAAACAACUUACUCAAUAAGAAUUAAACCUAGCGGAAAGUGGAGCUUUACCUUCGGUUGGGGCGACCACGGAGAAAAAUUUAUCCUCCGAGUGGAUUGGGUUAAUAAACCUAAAACUAAGAAAGACAUUUCUAAGUCACAGAAAAUCUGACCAAACAUGAUCCGGACAACAGACCGAUCAACGGACCAAGUUACCCUAGGGAUAACAGCGCAAUCCUCUCCCAGAGUCCAUAUCGACGAGGGGGUUUACGACCUCGAUGUUGGAUCAGGACAUCCUAAUGGUGCAGCCGCUAUUAAGGGUUCGUUUGUUCAACGAUUAAAGUCCUACGUGAUCUGAGUUCAGACCGGAGUAAUCCAGGUCAGUUUCUAUCUGUAACGUCACUUUUCCUAGUACGAAAGGACCGGAAAAGAGAGGCCCAUGCAAAAGUAUGCCUCACCCAUAAUUAAUGAAAACAACUUAAUUAAAUAAAUGGAGGACCUAUAAAUUAGGCAAAGAUAAUGCCA